Molecule: long non-coding RNA, 438 nt
Filed under: Lupinus angustifolius (narrow-leaved blue lupine)
Lineage: Eukaryota; Viridiplantae; Streptophyta; Magnoliopsida; Fabales; Fabaceae
Description: long non-coding RNA (LANG_LNC003137)
Source: RNAcentral
AACAAUGCGGUUGCAACUGUGGCGGCAUUAACUGCUUUUUCCCACAAUUACCCUUAAUUAUAGUAAACACAAUGUAUCUGCAACUGCGAUUAGUGAGAGAGCAGUGUAGAGAACUAGAGUUAGAAUUAACAUUAGACCUUUCCAUCUGAUGAAGGAAGAUUAUCAGUUUUCAAGGUAGCGGAAGAAGAGGUAGACACCGAAUUUGUGCCUCUGGAAGGAGAAGAGGGAGGAGAAGGAAGCUUCUUCGGCAUCAUCUGUUCCCAAUAUGCCUUAGGUAACCUUGACCCUUCUGAUAGAACAACAAAAGCAAGCAGAGCCAAGAGCAAACACUGGUGCCUCCAAGAACCUAUCAUCAUGAUGAAUAGUAGUAUUCCUACUCAAGAAGUGCACAGAACCUGAAUUUGGCUUUGAAAGAGAGUCAGCUUUAGAAGGCUUCUG